RNAcentral lists this long non-coding RNA (793 nucleotides) under Lonchura striata (white-rumped munia). RNAcentral describes it as "domestica (Bengalese finch) lncRNA (ENSLSDG00000018079.1)". Lineage: Eukaryota; Metazoa; Chordata; Aves; Passeriformes; Estrildidae. The record is from RNAcentral.
CUGCUCCCCCCAGCUGAGGCCCGGGCGGCGGCGGCCCCGCAGCGCUCGCCCCGGUGGCGGGGGGGCCGCGCCGGGGAGUUGGUGAUUAACCUGCGGGCCAUUGAAUACCCGCCUAAAGUCGCGCCCAGGGUGGGGUUUAACCUUGUCCGAGGCUCGGUGCCUCCCGUGUGACUCUCUGCCCGAGAGCCUGGGGCGGCCAGUUCUGCUGCCGCCGAAGCGCUGCGGGGAUGCGCAGCUCCCUGUUGAAAAUCUCUGCUCUAAAUCUCAGCCUAGAGCCCGCCUCGCAGUCGUUUUUGGAAGUUUCAGGCUCAAGAGGUCGAGGUGAUGUGGGGGUCUCCGCAAGCGUCUCUGCAGCUGCGGGCUGCAGGAGCUCGAGUUUGUGGCUGGCGCUUGAAUCCAUGCUGGCCCCUUUUCCUCGGGCUGAGCUGCAAGGAGCUCAGCAGCUGCGGCAUUUAGUUCAAUUACUUCAGAUGAUCUGUAAAUUUUCAAUAAUGGCAAUACAUUCAUUCUGCCAUUUGGAGGAGCCUGUGCCACAGAAUAAUGAUCUGAAGAAAGCUCACUCAUUUGCAAGGAAGAGUCUUCAUUUGGGAAUUAGCACUGAUGCAGCACAAGGGUGCUUUUUCAAGUACAGACUUUUUCAGCAGAAGUGUUGUUUUCCUAACACAACCUCUGGUACAAGGAUAAAAUUGGGUUUUUGUCAAAGAACAGAGUCCUGUAUCUGAAGAGUAAGAAGGUAAGGUAUUGAGAUUAUAUCAUUUCAGUAAGCAGUUAACAAUAAUUUUGGUUAUUUGUU